Molecule: ribosomal RNA, 511 nt
Filed under: Helodon onychodactylus
Lineage: Eukaryota; Metazoa; Arthropoda; Insecta; Diptera; Simuliidae
Description: partial 12S ribosomal RNA
Source: RNAcentral
AGAGCUAUAAUCAAAUAAACUAUAUUCAUUGUUUUACUAUUAAAUCCGCCUUGAAUUUAUUAUUUCCAACAAAUUACCGUAUAAAUAUUUUUAUUGUAACCCAUCUCUACUAAAAUAUAAACUGCACCUUGACCUGACAUCAUUUAUAAUAAUAAAUUAAGAAAAUUAUUACUCUUUUAAGAUAUUCUGAUAACGGCGAUAUACAAAUUGAAAACUAAUUUUAGUAAGGUCCAACGUGGGCUAUCGAUUAAAGGACAGGUUCCUCUAAAUAGACUAAAACGCCGCCAAAUUCUUUAAGUUUAAAGAUCUUAUCUACUACUACUCAAGUAUUAAGCAUCACAUUUUAAAUAAUAGGGUAUCUAAUCCUAGUUUAUAGUUAAAAUUUUAUAGCUUCAUUAACUUACUUAUAUAAUAAUAAUUACUCUUAAAAUUUCACCUAAAAAAAGUAAUUUAAUAUUAAAAUUUAAAUCAAACUAACUAUAUUACUAAUCAAUCUUAAUCGCAUUAUUUG